GUCCUGAUGAAUAAAUAUCAGGUCUGACCUGCCCACUGACAUUAGUUCAACGGCCGCGGUAUUUCUGACCGUGCAAAGGUAGCAUAAUCACUAGUCUUUUAAUUGAAGGCUUGUAUGAAAGGUUGGACGAAGAAUAAACUGUUUCAAAUAAAUUCAUUGAAAUUAACUUUUAAGUGAAAAGGCUUAAAUUUAUUAAAAAGACGAUAAGACCCUAUAAAUCUUUACAUUAAUAUAUAAUAAUUAUUUAAUUUAUUUAAGUUUAAAAGAAAAUAUUAAUUUAAUGUUAUGUUGGGGCGACAGAUAUAAAGUAAAUUUAACUGUUUAAUUUUCUCUAACAAAUUAUUAUUGAUUUAAAGAUCCUUCUUAAAGAUUAAAAGAUUAAGUUACUUUAGGGAUAACAGCGUUAUUCUUUUUGAGAGUUCCUAUCGAAAAAAGAGUUUGCGACCUCGAUGUUGAAUUAAAAUUUCUCUAUGGUGCAGCCGCUAUAGCAGAAAGUCUGUUCGACUUUUAAAAUUUU
This 517-nucleotide ribosomal RNA is filed under the name Diogenes nitidimanus. Its description in RNAcentral is "partial 16S ribosomal RNA". It matches the Rfam family "Bacterial large subunit ribosomal RNA", at positions 1829 to 2597 of the family's 2925-position model. Lineage: Eukaryota; Metazoa; Arthropoda; Malacostraca; Decapoda; Diogenidae. The record is from RNAcentral.